RNAcentral lists this long non-coding RNA (1142 nucleotides) under Phocoena sinus (vaquita). Its description in RNAcentral is "lncRNA (ENSPSNG00000020183.1)". Lineage: Eukaryota; Metazoa; Chordata; Mammalia; Artiodactyla; Phocoenidae. The record is from RNAcentral.
UAAUUUAAAUGCCACAGGAAACAAACUUGAUGUGUGUGUGUAUGCGUGGGGGAUGGGGUGCUCAAUUUUAGGCGGUCUUGUGUAAUUUGCUCUGCUCUUUUUGGGGGUGCCUAGAGGUGGAUUGGUGGGGCCACUUGAGGCUCGGUGAAGCCCUGCCCCAUCCUCCUCCUGUAUCCCAAGGCAUAUGCGGUGUUGGAGGGGCCCCCACCAACCCCCAAAGCUUUAGGCACAACUCGAACUGGCUGUGUAUGAGGUCCACCCUGCUUCUCUCCCCAUCUUGGCUGCUGUCCUGCCCUGACCCUGACCAGUACCCUCCCCCCCACCAUUGUUGAAUGUCCAGAGAAUUGCUAAGACAGUGCCUUUCACAAAUGCAGCCUAUCCCCUGGUUCUGAGGAGCAAGUGGGCAGUGAAGAGGGCAUCUCCCUUACCUCCUCCUCUUGCAGUAGAAACUUUGUGUAAUAGAUAGUUCUGCCUUUUUUUUUUUCCCCCCGUGUGUGUGGCCUUUGCAUCAUUUAUCUUGUGGAAAAGAAGACUGAGGCCACAGAAGACCUCAGCCCUUGAACUUCCACUGUGGUGUCAGCAUUGUAAACCGCUUCACCCCCUUCUUCCACGCCCCCCACCCAGGAGCCCGCACUAGCAAGGCAGAUGGGGAAGUCUCACCUCGCACUAGCAAGGCAGAUGGGGACGUCUCACCUCGGGGCCCGUAGUGGAGAGGUGGAAGGGGGGGGGGUUGACCUCAGAUAAGCACAGACCCCAGAUUUUGCCAAAGGCAAACAGUCCUCCAGUGCCCUCCCCACCCGCAGCUGAGGCCAAGUCAGGAAAGAACAAUAGGCACCUAAAAGCACAAGAAGACAGAACCUGUGAGAUCUGACCUCAGCUCCAUCCCAAGAAGUCAAGUGGUCUGCCCCCUGAGGGGCAGACCCCAACAGACCCCUGCCCACCAGUUUUUCCUCCAAUGGACAUAGGUCAGAUCGGGACGAGGGGAGGAGGCAAGACUAUCACAGCCUGUGUGUUUGGGGUCAGGUGUCCCCCAAUGGGUUUGUCUGUGUUCACACCUCGUCCUGUGUCUGAGGUGCUAUGGCUGUAUCCUCCUCCUGGGACAUCUGUAUCUCCUGGCUUUGUAAUAAAUGCUGCAUACUCUC